RNAcentral lists this long non-coding RNA (1415 nucleotides) under Sus scrofa (pig). Its description in RNAcentral is "lncRNA (ENSSSCG00015029014.1)". Lineage: Eukaryota; Metazoa; Chordata; Mammalia; Artiodactyla; Suidae. The record is from RNAcentral.
CUUAGAGAAGGCAAGUGAUUUGCUGGGGUCGCACAGCCUGCAAGUGGUGGAACUCAUGUCCAGGGCUGCUGGAGAAUGCUGGAGAAUAUUCCUAAAGUCCUUUAUCGGAAUUUCAGCAGCUGAGACAGAUGGGGGGUGGGGGGGAACAGGUAUUCAGGGAGGGGUUUGGGGAGGACACAGGAACACUUAAAACCAUUUUUUCAAGCGACCUCAGUCCUGACUGGGGACUUUGGCUCUUCUCUUUCAGGCCCUGUGUCUCAGAGCCCAGCUGGGGACUGGCUUGUCUGAGAAGCUAAUUCUAGCUAAAGUGUUAACAGCUGAAUGGGUCGUCCAUGUGCUCAGCGAUGGGGACUUUCAGUCUUUGAGGACAUGGGGCAGGAUGGAAAGGCCAGAAACCCAGGUUUCCCGCCUGGACCAAGCUUCAGCCUCUGGCGAGCCUCAGCCUUGGGUGUCGGCCUUCCGGAGUCUCCUGCUCAUUCGCUCAGAGGGAACAUGCCACGUUGGAGAAACAAGCAUCUUGCAGACGGCUGGUGGCGCUUCUCCUCUCCAAUCGCUGCGUGGCAUUUUCCUUGCCUCACCGCAGUGCCAGGACCUCCAGCCUGAUGUUGGAUGGGACGGUGAGCGUGAGCAUGCUUUUCCUUGUUCGCCUCUCGGGGGAGGUGGCAGUAUUUCUGCAGCAAGGAUGAUGUUAGCGUGUGUUUUUCUCAGAUCAGAGCUCGGACGAUUCCCUUUACUCUUGAUUUCCUAUGACUCUUAUCAGGUAUGUGUGGAAUUGAUUGUAUGUUUUCUUUCUUUCUUUAUUUUUUGUCUUUUUUGCUAUUUCUUGGGCUGCUCCCACGGCAUAUGGAGGUUCCUAGGCGAGGGGUCGAAUCGGAGCUGUAGCCACCAGCCUACGCCAGAGCCACAGCAACGCAGGAUCCGAGCCGCGUCUGCAACCUACACCACAGCUCACGGCAACGCCGGAUCGUCAACCCACUGAGCAAGGGCAGGGACCGAACCCGCAACCUCAUGGUUCCUAGUUGGAUUCGUUAACCACUGCGCCACGACGGGAACUCCUGAUUGUAUGUUUUAUUUCUUGAUGUAUGUAUGUAUUUAAUUUUUUUUUGCUUUUUAAGGCUGCACCCACGGCAUAUGAAGGUUCCCAGGCUAGGGGUCCAAUUGGAGCUGCAGCUGCCAGCCUACACCAGAGCCACAGCAACGCCAGAUCCGGGCCACCUCUGCAACCUACGCCACAGCUCAUGGCAACGCUGGACCCCCAACCCACUGAGCAAGGCCAGGGAUCGAACCUGGGUCCUCAUGGAUACUAGGUGGGUAUGUUUCCGCUGCACCACAACGGGAACUCCUGAUCGUAUGUUUCAAAGUGUCACCUUUCUUCUUUUAAUAAAGUAAACUACACAGGCUUUAAAGAGUUAAAA